Molecule: RNase P RNA, 329 nt
Filed under: human gut metagenome
Also listed under: 1 other name
Description: Bacterial RNase P class A
Rfam family: Bacterial RNase P class A
About the family: Ribonuclease P (RNase P) is a ubiquitous endoribonuclease, found in archaea, bacteria and eukarya as well as chloroplasts and mitochondria. Its best characterised activity is the generation of mature 5'-ends of tRNAs by cleaving the 5'-leader elements of precursor-tRNAs.
Source: RNAcentral
AGCAGGACAGGCAAUCGCACUGCGUCCGCAGUGAGGAAAGUCCGAGCACCAUAGAGCAGGACGCCGGAUAACGCCCGGUGGAGGCGACUCCAAGGAAAGUGCAACAGAAAUAUACCGCCGCGUCAGCGGUAAGGGUGGAAAGGCGAGGCAAGAGCUCACCGGCGCGCUUGGCGACUUGCGCGCCCUGUAAACCCCGUCCGGUGCAAGAUUGGUAUGGGAGCAUUUAAUAGCUGCUCGCUAAGCUCCAUGUAAUCGCGCGAGCCUGCCGGCGACGGCAGGCCAAGAUAGAUGAUUGCCCUUAGACAGAACUCGGCUUAUGGCCUGACUCA